GGUUGAUCCUGCCAGUAGUCAUAUGCUUGUCUCAAAGAUUAAGCCAUGCAUGUCUCAGUGUAAACUUUUAAACGGUGAAACUGCGAAUGGCUCAUUAAAACAGUUAUAGUUUAUUUGAUGUUCAUUCUUACAUGGAUAACCGUGGGAAUUCCAGGGCUAAUACAUGCGGCUCCUCUGGAGCGAGUGUUUAUUAGAUUGAAACCAAAACCGUGUCAAAGCGGGUCUAUUGGAAUGAUAAUAACCUAUCGAAUCGCAUGCCGUAUGGCGGCGAUAGAUCAUUCAAGUUUCUGAC
Molecule: ribosomal RNA, 292 nt
Filed under: uncultured eukaryote
Lineage: Eukaryota
Description: partial 18S ribosomal RNA
Rfam family: Eukaryotic small subunit ribosomal RNA
Source: RNAcentral